UACAGGGGGUGCAAACGUUGCUCGGAAUUAUUGGGCGUAAAGCGCGCGUAGGCGGCUACUUAAGUCGGAUGUGAAAGCCCUUGGCUCAACUGAGGAAGUGCACCCGAAACUGAGUGGCUAGAGUACGAAAGAGGGUCGCGGAAUUCCCGGUGUAGAGGUGAAAUGCGUAGAUAUCGGGAGGAACACCUGUGGCGAAAGCGGCGCACUGGACCACAACUGACGCUGAGGCGCGAAAGCUAGGGGAGCAAACAGG
RNAcentral lists this ribosomal RNA (253 nucleotides) under uncultured bacterium. Its description in RNAcentral is "partial 16S ribosomal RNA". It matches the Rfam family "Bacterial small subunit ribosomal RNA", at positions 524 to 776 of the family's 1533-position model. The record is from RNAcentral.